UAACUUUGCUCUGUGGCAGAUAGUCAAAACUAUCUGGCACAAUUCGAGCUUGCAAUAGUAAGAGAAUCUAAUACAUUGCGGUGUUCUCUUCUCCACAAGACAAGCAGCUAUAUAGACUUAAACAAU
Small nucleolar RNA from Perognathus longimembris pacificus (Pacific pocket mouse), 126 nucleotides. RefSeq annotates it as small nucleolar RNA SNORA28. The transcript has a single exon. NCBI's taxonomy places the organism in Eukaryota, Metazoa, Chordata, Mammalia, Rodentia, Heteromyidae. The record is from RefSeq and is a predicted model, not a curated record.